Non-coding RNA from Lonchura striata (white-rumped munia), 3377 nucleotides. Lineage: Eukaryota; Metazoa; Chordata; Aves; Passeriformes; Estrildidae. The record is from RefSeq and is a predicted model, not a curated record.
GUAAUUGCAUAUUGAAGGUCAGAGUAAGCUGUUCUGUUCCCAACAUUUAAAUGUAUCUAUCUUCACCGAUACUUUGUUAAAACAAUAUUGGUUUAAGUAUGUGCUUUUAAAAAAACCCCGACUUUUGUUUUUAUGUAUCGCUGGUUCUGAUAUUUUGGGAGACUUGGGGCCAGCCUAGGCUGGAUCCUGAGGCAGGAGGAAGUGAUUGCCCUGACUGGGUUUCUGGCAGCAGAGGGUCACUGCGUGUGCGCCUGCAGAUGUGGUAACAUGAUCAGUCUUGGCAGCUCUGCUCAGCAAAGUUGUACCAGUGAGAUUUUUCACUCUCCUUAUUUUGUCCUAAAUCUCUCUGUGCAAAGGCAGAUAAGGUCAGCCUAAAUCUAUGGACUUCAGCUGGGGGCUUCAGCAAAUCAUUCACAGUACGAAUUUGAGGAACUCGUGAUUGGGUGACUGGCAAGCCACCACUCUCACCUGGGUGUGGGGAUGUUGCUCGUGUUAAACUGCGCAUGAGCAGAUUUUGCACUGUGGGCAAGAACUGGGGAUUUGGAUUGAACCGUGGGUCUCUGCUGCAAUUCCCAACAUCAGUGUGGAGUGAUAGGGGCAUGGCUUUGGGAUUCUAAAGUCGAGGAUUCAAAGUUGAGGAGGGGGAUGUUUAGCUACUUGACUUAGGCUUUGCCUUCAAGACGUGGCUGCUGCAUGGACUGGUGUUUCAUCAAACACCUGCUUUGUUCCAAAGCUGUUUAAAAUGGCACAGUGGGAGACUGUGAACAAGGAAAAUUCUCCGUGGUUUCGUACCUUGGCUUGGGAAAGUGCCAGUUUUAUGUUGACCACGACUUGUGGAACUGAGAAAUCUUUUUUUUGUGCCACUGUGAGGUCCAUUUUUGAGUUGACUCUUCAGGAGCAGGAGGCUGCAGGCUUUGCUUCGAGGUGGGGUUCACUGCUUUGUUCCUGCUGCUCCAGAGCUGGUCUUUCCUGGUAUGUAAGCCUGCAGGCAUGACUCAUGGGAGCCUUUCACAACACAGAAAGGUCUUCCCAGAGGAAUUCCAGCUCCUCCAGGCAUUUGCAAAGGAAAUUCUUAAUUGGAUUAGAUUCAUAAUACUAAUCUGCUAAUGACUGUUUGUUAUGGAGAUCUUGGCACUAUCUUGUAAAUAUAUUCACCUUCCUUUAGCUGCCUUAUGUCUUUUUAUCACAUACAAGCUCAGCGUUGUUAAGAUUGUACUGCCUUGUACUGCCGCCAGCAGAUCUGAUAGUUGGGAAUGGGCGACUACUGUGUUUAUUACACAAGAUCUUAUAAAGCUCAUAAUUCUUUCCUCUCUCUCUCUCUCUCCAUUUCACGGUGCUGUUUAGGUGGGGUACUAAAAGGGAAGCAGUGGUAAUUGGCAUGUCUGACAUCCGGCUGUACUUCUCUUACCAUGGGUGUGAAGGACACCCCGGGUGGGGAGUGCCUCUGUGCAGUUGUCAGUGACAGAACUGUGUAUUUUUAGUAAGAAUCAGGACCAAACAGGCAUUUCGUCCCUCCCAAAAAGGGCCUUUAUGGGAUGUAGGUGCUGUUGUGGUGGUGUGAGGAACACCUGCAGGAGAGCACUGCUCCUGUGUUUCCCUGUGUAAGAUUGAGUCAAUUUGGAAUUUCAAUUGUAACAUCGGUACUGAAACAGUUUUUCAACACUAACAUAAAUUCUUCUAUUUAUUGACCCACACACCAGUGGAUGUUAAACUGCUUUUGUUGCUAGACUGACUCACUGGUAUGUGUCAGGUUUUUGAGUUUUUCCUGUGCUCUGCAGCCUUUCUUAAUCCUUGAGUCAGUAGCAAAUAGCAGGAAUCUGUUGUGGAGAAAGGGAGCAUUUACUUCCAGAGCAGGAAAGAGGUAUAUCUCCCUGAAAGCAAGUGUGACAGUCUGAAUAUUUAGGAAGUGCUGUCUGUUGGAAUAUAAAUUAUGUGAGAAGGAUGUACCCAUUUUGUUUUUUUAAACCACUCAGGAAGUUCUUUUGGACUUGUGAAAAUGCAAAUGUAUCUGGGGAUAUAACAUGGCUUUGUUACAGGGGUAUGAAAGAAGUGAGUGCAAGCAAAAAGCAUCUUGCCACGUCAGGUUACUGGCUAGACUUGUGAUUUUUGUGACACAGAUUGUCAGAGCUGGCUUUUCUUUCUUAUAGUAAUCGAUUUGUGCUGUCUCCAGCUCCACUGCUCGCUAGAUGUCUGCCCAGCUUCCUCGAAGGAACACUGCAGUAUCCAGUAACUCUCAGAUCUUGAGCACAAAAGGCAAAGAGCAUCUCAGCCAGCUGGGGGGAAUCGAGUGCCUGAACCCAACUCUAGCCCAUUUCUGCUGACGUCUGCUCUGCAUGAUCACUGGAAGCAAACUAGAUGGAGCUGGAGAUUACCGACUUUGAACCCUGCAGAAAGCACUGGCCUGAGGAUACAAUUUAGCAGGCUGAAAACCCCAUGCUGAAUUUCUGGCAAGCACUAGUGAUUGGUGUGAAACACCUGCCUGUACAGCCUCUGACUUUGGGCACGGCAUCAUGUGAACUUCCCAGUGAUCUCUGUCUAGAAUAGCAACAGGAGCAAGAUAUGAAGGUGAUCUGGAAAAGGCAGAAAAGAAUGUAUGCCCUGCUCUAAGGAUUUUUUGUUGGGUUUUUUUUUUUGGUGGAUAUUUCUGUCUCUGCUCAUUUUUCUCUCUUCCCCAGCGUUCUUGGGAAAGCCUAGUCCACAUGUAGAUGUCAGAAUUACACUUCACUUGUGCCUGUGUGAAGACAAAAUCAUGCUUUUGCUUUUAUGGGUCUGCCCUUCAUCCUCUUCUGAUGUGCUGCUUUCCUUUUUUCCACCUUAUUGCUGCUGUCCUUUCACCCCUGUCUCCUUUGAACACAUUCAGUAUGGCCAGGGCUGAAUGUGUUCACUUCUCAGAAACCUCUCAGACCUGUGUUUUGAUUAUUUUUUUUCCCACCAGAGAUGUCUCUUCAUUUAUUGUUCUUUAAAGACAGAAUUGGAUGAAGUGAUUCUCACCAGGGCUGUGUUGUUCCUCAGCCUCCUUUCUUUUCCCUGAUGCUGCCCUAUGUGUCAUCCUGCUUUGAGAAGAUGACUUCUAAUCUGUUAAGAAGAUGGUGCUAUAAAGACCUGAACACUUAAUAAUGAACCUGGACAUUGAAUUCAGGCUAUUGUUGCUAUUGUCUGCAGCACAGGCAUGAGUGAUGCCUGGGAAAGAAACUGGAGUCAGGAUGUGCAAAAUGUCUGAAUUUCUGUGUCUGACCUACAUUUUUCAAAGUCAACAAUUCUUCCAUCAACUUCCAUAGUUUCUGAUUAUAAAUACAGAGCUGGAUGGUUCCCUAUACGUUUCAAAUAUCAGAGUUCAUAACCAGUCAAACUAAUAAAAAAAUAAGAAUCAAAAACCC